Molecule: ribosomal RNA, 497 nt
Filed under: uncultured bacterium
Lineage: Bacteria
Description: partial 16S ribosomal RNA
Rfam family: Bacterial small subunit ribosomal RNA
Source: RNAcentral
GAUGAACGCUGGCGGCGUGCCUAAUACUUGCAAGUCGAGCGAACGGACGAGAAGCUUGCUUCUCUGAUGUUAGCGGCGGACGGGUGAGUAACACGUGGAUAACCUACCUAUAAGACUGGGAUAACUUCGGGAAACCGGAGCUAAUACCGGAUGAUAUUUUGAACCGCAUGGUUCAAAAGUGAAAGACGGUCUUGCUGUCACUUAUAGAUGGAUCCGCGCUGCAUUAGCUAGUUGGUAAGGUAACGGCUUACCAAGGCAACGAUGCAUAGCCGACCUGAGAGGGUGAUCGGCCACACUGGAACUGGGACACGGUCCAGACUCCUACGGGAGGCAGCAGUAGGGAAUCUUCCGCAAUGGGCGAAAGCCUGACGGAGCAACGCCGCGUGAGUGAUGAAGGUCUUCGGAUCGUAAAACUCUGUUAUUAGGGAAGAACAUAUGUGUAAGUAACUGUGCACAUCUUGACGGUACCUAAUCAGAAAGCCACGGCUAACUACGUG